Molecule: transfer RNA, 89 nt
Filed under: Coniochaeta ligniaria NRRL 30616
Lineage: Eukaryota; Fungi; Ascomycota; Sordariomycetes; Coniochaetales; Coniochaetaceae
Rfam family: tRNA
About the family: Transfer RNA (tRNA) molecules are approximately 80 nucleotides in length.
Source: Rfam by way of RNAcentral
GGUCUCGUGGCGCAAUGGUAGCGCGUAGCUUUCCGGUUGCUUAAACACCAUUCUAGCUGAGGCUCUCGGUUCGAGUCCGGGCGGGAUCG